Molecule: ribosomal RNA, 381 nt
Filed under: uncultured marine Chaetocerotaceae
Lineage: Eukaryota; Bacillariophyta; Thalassiosirophyceae; Chaetocerotales; Chaetocerotaceae
Description: SSU rRNA
Rfam family: Eukaryotic small subunit ribosomal RNA
Source: RNAcentral
AGCUCCAAUAGCGUAUAUUAAAGUUGCUGCAGUUAAAAAGCUCGUAGUUGCAUUUCCGAGGCAAGGGAUUAGUCCGACCUUUGGUGGGUAUUUAAUCCUCUUGCCUCGUCCUUGAGUGGUGCUUCUUGGUAUUAAGUUAUCGAGGAGAUAGCCGCUCAUCGUUUACUGUGAGAAAAUUAGAGUGUUCAAAGCAGGCUUAUGCCGUUGAAUAUAUUAGCAUGGAAUAAUAAGAUAGGACCUCGGUACUAGUUUGUUGGUUUGAGAACCAAGGUAAUGAUGAAUAGGGACAGUUGGGGGUAUUCGUAUUCAGUUGUCAGAGGUGAAAUUCUUAGAUUUACGGAAGACGAACUACUGCGAAAGCAUUUACCAAGGAUGUUGUCA